GUCUACGGCCAUACCACCCUGAACGCGCCCGAUCUCGUCUGAUCUCCGAAGCUAAGCAGGGUCGGGCCUGGUUAAUACUUGGAUGCGAGAACUAGGACUUCUACAUU
RNAcentral lists this ribosomal RNA (107 nucleotides) under Heterocephalus glaber (naked mole-rat). The record is from RNAcentral. Lineage: Eukaryota; Metazoa; Chordata; Mammalia; Rodentia; Bathyergidae.